This 219-nucleotide long non-coding RNA is filed under the name Gossypium raimondii (Peruvian cotton). RNAcentral's name for it is "long non-coding RNA (GRAI_LNC010955)". Lineage: Eukaryota; Viridiplantae; Streptophyta; Magnoliopsida; Malvales; Malvaceae. The record is from RNAcentral.
CUUUGGGCCAGGGUUGUUUUGAGGUCUGGUUUAGUUGUUUGGGCUUAGGUUAGUUUUGGGCCUGUGCUUUGUUUUAUAUGGGCCCGGGCAUUAUUGGGCUUGUACAAUGUAACCCCGGAGUCAUUGUCAUUGCACCCCAAGGGCUUCGAGUAGUCUAGGGGCUCCACAAGUCCAUUGUUGUGUGACCCUUGCAACCCAAUGUGGAGCCUAAGGUGUCUG